RNAcentral lists this long non-coding RNA (374 nucleotides) under Malus domestica (apple). RNAcentral describes it as "long non-coding RNA (MDOM_LNC012933)". Lineage: Eukaryota; Viridiplantae; Streptophyta; Magnoliopsida; Rosales; Rosaceae. The record is from RNAcentral.
CAUUUCGCCUCUAUACAAUUUUAACAAGAAGGUAUUGGAUCCGGAUCUAACGAUCCAAAGCAUCCAUCUACGACCAACUCGUAAUUUAUGUUUUAGUGGUAUCACAACUUUAGUUGGGAUUAGUCACUACCUUGCAACCUUUUGGGUUUUAAGCAUCAUUAUAUUCUAAAUAGUUAACACUACCAUAUCAUCUCUACUAUAGAGACAAUCAAUUAGAUUACUAUAAUCCAAUCAUUGAUUAAUAAAGAACAAUGUUUUGUCAAACAAAACAUUUAUCCAUUUCACAUAGUGACGGAAUUUAGUUCCUUAAAAUUGGAAUGUAAAGACAAUCUUUGGUUUUUCCAAUUUCUUUGGUAGUUCAUAUGAGGAAGUAA